UACGAAGGGUGCAAGCGUUACUCGGAAUUACUGGGCGUAAAGCGUGCGUAGGUGGUUUGUUAAGUCUGUUGUGAAAGCCCCGGGCUCAACCUGGGAAUGGCAAUGGAUACUGGCAGGCUAGAGUGCGGUAGAGGGUAGUGGAAUUCCCGGUGUAGCGGUGAAAUGCGUAGAUAUCGAGAGGAACACCUGCGGCGAAGGCGGGUUGCUGGGCUGACACUGACGCUGAUGUGCGAAAGCUAGGGGGAGCAAACAGG
RNAcentral lists this ribosomal RNA (254 nucleotides) under uncultured bacterium. RNAcentral's name for it is "partial 16S ribosomal RNA". It matches the Rfam family "Bacterial small subunit ribosomal RNA", at positions 524 to 776 of the family's 1533-position model. The record is from RNAcentral.